AGCAGCCGCGGUAAUUCCAGCUCCAAUAGCGUAUAUUAAAGUUGUUGCAGUUAAAAAGCUCGUAGUUGAAUUUCGGGAUUGGCGCAUCGGUCGUGCCUUACGGGGUAUGAACUGGUGCAGUCAAUUUCUCACCUUCUGGAGAACCGCGAUGUCCUUAAUUGGGUGCCGCGGGGAACCAGGACCUUUACUUUGAAAAAAUUAGAGUGUUUAAAGCAGGCAUUUUUGCUUGAAUACAUUAGCAUGGAAUAAUAAAAUAGGACGGCAUGGUUCUAUUUUGUUGGUUUCUAGGACCACCGUAAUGAUUAAUAGGGAUAGUUGGGGGCAUUAGUAUUCAAUUGUCAGAGGUGAAAUUCUUGGAUUUAUUGAAGACUAACUACUGCGAAAGCAUUUGCCAAGGAUGUUUUCAUUAAUCAAGAACGAAAGUUAGGGGAUCGAAGACGAUCAGAUACCGUCGUAGUCUUAACCAUAAACUAUGCCGACUAGGGAUCGGAUGAUGUUAAUUUUUUAAUGACUCAUUCGG
Molecule: ribosomal RNA, 520 nt
Filed under: uncultured Glomus
Lineage: Eukaryota; Fungi; Glomeromycota; Glomeromycetes; Glomerales; Glomeraceae
Also listed under: 1 other name
Description: SSU rRNA
Rfam family: Eukaryotic small subunit ribosomal RNA
Source: RNAcentral